This 3160-nucleotide small RNA is filed under the name Pongo abelii (Sumatran orangutan). RNAcentral's name for it is "retained intron". Lineage: Eukaryota; Metazoa; Chordata; Mammalia; Primates; Hominidae. The record is from RNAcentral.
AGAACCGCUGCCUCGCUCCCGGAAGUGGAGGGUCUACACGAAGAGCCGCUGGGUCUGGGUGCCCGGAGGCAGCAGCGUUCGCGGAGUUCGCCCGCUGGCCCCCGAUCGCCAUGUCGGCUUUCGACACCAACCCCUUCGCGGACCCAGUGGAUGUAAACCCCUUCCAGGAUCCCUCUGUGACCCAGCUGACCAAUGCCCCGCAGGGCGGCCUGGCGGAAUUCAACCCCUUCUCAGAGACAAAUGCAGCGACAACAGUUCCUGUCACACAACUCCCUGGGUCCUCGCAGCCAGCGGUUCUCCAGCCAUCAGUGGAACCAACCCAGCCGACCCCCCAGGUACUGCUGAUAAAGAACUCUGGCCUUUUCUCUCCAGUGAGGGAAUCACCCAGACCAGUAGCUGAGCCCUGAGGCUGGGGGCAAGCAGAGAGCUUUCAGCUUUGGCCCCCUAAGGGCCCUCUUGCUAAUUUGUUCGGAGCUGGUCACCUACAAGUAGAGGGGCUGCUCUGCCAAUUAAUAUCCUUACUCCCUCCAUCCCACCCACCACCACCACUGAGAAAUAAGCUCUACUCACCAGGCCGGGCUCCUUGGUGCCUCCAGAGAGGGCAUUUGUCCCUGUUGUACCCCUCCAGGUCCUCCUCGGGCCUUUGGCUUGUUCUCUCUUCCUUGGGGCCCAGAAUCUCUCCUUUUUUUAACUUCAUUACUUCUCACCUUCCUUCCUGUCUUCCUUUGUCCCUUCACCAAAUACUGUGGAUCUUGCCUGCUUUGUGCCUGGUGCUCCACUGCACCGCCUCACUGCCCUCCCGCCGCGCUCCUCGCUGCCCCUAUGAGCGUGACCCAUGGUGGAGUUAUGUGUUGCAGCUCCUGCUUAGACAGGCCAGCAAGUUCCCGCCUGCCCAAUUCCUGGCAGUGAGCGAGCUCUCAGAGAGGCAGAUGCUCCUAGGAGGAGAAAGUAUUCUCAGAGACAGCUACAUGCGAAAGCUUCCGAAGGUAGGCCUAGUGUAGAUGAGCAGGAAGAAGGGCAGGGCACCCGGAGCCUGCCCCGCACCCCUCCCAGGCCCCAGAGCCUGUGGAGGUGAGGCAGGCCUUACAUGCGGAGGUGCCUUUCUGUGCAGCUGGGUGGUGGGCUGUAGGGAGCUGGGUCCUUCUCAACUGACGUCACAGAUUUGGAGGAGGCCAAGACCCCCAGCGUGGCACAGCGGGGUCAGUUCUGCUCCUGCUUCUGCCCCCCGUGCCUGAAACUUGCCUCUCCAAGGCAGCCUUAGGUCUUUGAAGAGCUUUUGGAGAGGUUGGUGUGUGUAUACAUGUGUGUGUGUACACAUGUGCCUGGUCUGUCAUCCUGUGAGAUGACCAGUUUGAGAUCUGUCCCUAAAAAGGACUGUAGUCUCAUCCUUCAGGAGGAACCUGGCCCAAAUGGCAGCAGCUGCCAGCAGGUGCAGGGCCAUGGGGCCAGGUCUGUUCAGCCUCACAUACAGUCAGUCCCUUACUGUUACUCAGAGGCUCUACCCCACCUGGAGAGGAGAUAAGUGUGGACUCUGCACGCCACUAAAGCCAGGCAGGGCAGGGCCACACCUAAGGGGCUAUCCUGGGGUGUAGCCAGUGGCAGUUUAGGGGGACCUCAGGAGGCAGCUCCUGGGGGCAGGCCAUGGGGCAGGGUGCUUGUACAGAUCCUGAGGCUCAGGCACACGCCAUCUGCCCUCACAUGUCUCCCCUUUCCACUCACUGCUAGCAGGCUUGCACUGUUUUCCUUCUCACACAUACACCAGGCUCUUCAAAUGAGGCUUGGGUCUGUGGGUUUCUUGUUAUAGUUUAGUUUCUUGUGAGGUCUUUUUCCCAAAGGUCACAAUCACUGAGCUCUGCCUUGAUACAGUACGGGGAAGAGGUGGAGAAGCCACUGGGUAUAGUUUUCCCAACUCAAGCUUAGGGAUGAGGGGAGGAGAGCCUAGUCAUGGCCAAAGGGUCAGGAAGGUGUGGGGGCAGUGCAAGACAGGUUGGCCUCUCUAAGGUGGUCUCUGGUACCUAAGAUACUCUGUGGGGUGGUAACUGUUUCUGGGACUCCUUGCUGGCUGCCCCUGCCUGGGGCAUGGCCUCUCUGCCUGCCUACCCAGGCUGACACUGUUUCUGUUUGUUGUGUCUGGCUGUCCCUGUACCUCCCCUGUUCUCUCCAGGCCGUGGUGUCUGCGGCCCAGGCAGGCCUGCUCCGGCAGCAGGAAGAACUGGACAGGAAAGCUGCCGAGCUGGAACGCAAGGAGCGGGAGCUGCAGAACACUGUAGCCAACUUGCAGGUGAGACAGAACAACUGGCCCCCCCUGCCCUCGUGGUGCCCUGUGAAGCCCUGCUUCUAUCAAGAUUUCUCCACAGAGAUCCCUGCCGACUACCAGCGGAUAUGCAAGAUGCUCUACUAUCUGUGGAUGUUGCAUUCAGUGACUCUGUUUCUGAACCUGCUUGCCUGCCUGGCCUGGUUCUCGGGCAACAGCUCCAAGGGAGUGGACUUUGGCCUCUCCAUCCUGUGGUUUCUGAUCUUCACUCCUUGUGCCUUCCUUUGUUGGUACCGACCCAUCUAUAAGGCCUUUAGGUCCGACAACUCUUUCAGCUUCUUUGUGUUCUUCUUUGUGUUUUUUUGUCAAAUAGGGAUCUACAUCAUCCAGUUGGUUGGCAUCCCUGGCCUGGGGGACAGCGGUUGGAUUGCAGCCCUGUCUACACUGGAUAAUCAGUCCCUGGCCAUAUCAGUCAUCAUGAUGGUGGUGGCUGGCUUCUUCACCCUCUGUGCCGUGCUCUCAGUCUUCCUCCUGCAGCGGGUGCACUCCCUCUACCGCCGGACAGGGGCCAGCUUCCAGCAGGCCCAGGAGGAGUUUUCCCAGGGCAUCUUCAGCAGCAGAACCUUCCACAGAGCUGCUUCAUCUGCUGCCCAAGGAGCCUUCCAGGGGAAUUAGUCCUUCUCUCUCUCUUCUCUCCCCCUCAGCCUUUCUCUCACCUGCCUUCUGAGCUGCACUUUCCGUGGGUGCCUUAUGUGGUGGUGGUUGUGCCCAGCACAGACCUGGCAGGGUUCUUGCCGUGGCUCUUCCUCCUCCCUCAGCGACCAGCUCUCCCUGGAACGGGAGGGACAGGAACUUUUUUCCCCCUCUAUGUACAAAAAAAACAAAGCUCUCUUUCCUUCUCUGGUG